GUAGGUGGCAAGCGUUGUCCGGAAUUAUUGGGCGUAAAGCGCGCGCAGGCGGUCCUUUAAGUCUGAUGUGAAAGCCCACGGGCUCAACCGUGGAGGGUCAUUGGAAACUGGGGGACUUGAGUACAGAAGAGGAAAGCGGAAUUCCAAGCGUAGCGGUGAAAUGCGUAGAGAUUUGGAGGAACACCAGUGGCGAAGGCGGCUUUCUGGUCUGUAACUGACGCUGAGGCGCGAAAGCGUGGGGAGCAAACAGGAUUAGAUACCCUGGUAGUCCACGCCGUAAACGAUGAGUGCUAAGUGUUAGGGGGUUUCCGCCCCUUAGUGCUGCAGCUAACGCAUUAAGCACUCCGCCUGGGGAGUACGGCCGCAAAGGCUGA
Molecule: ribosomal RNA, 374 nt
Filed under: uncultured organism
Description: partial 16S ribosomal RNA
Rfam family: Bacterial small subunit ribosomal RNA
Source: RNAcentral